Molecule: ribosomal RNA, 492 nt
Filed under: uncultured bacterium
Lineage: Bacteria
Description: partial 16S ribosomal RNA
Rfam family: Bacterial small subunit ribosomal RNA
Source: RNAcentral
AGUGAACGCUGGCGGUAGGCCUAACACAUGCAAGUCGAACGGCAGCACAGUAAGAGCUUGCUCUUACGGGUGGCGAGUGGCGGACGGGUGAGGAAUAAAUCGGAAUCUACUUUUUCGGGGGGGAUAACGUAGGGAAACUUACGCUAAUACCGCAUACGACCUACGGGUGAAAGCAGGGGAUCUUCGGACCUUGCGCGAUUGAAUGAGCCGAUGUCGGAUUAGCUAGUUGGCGGGGUAAAGGCCCACCAAGGCGACGAUCCGUAGCUGGUCUGAGAGGAUGAUCAGCCACACUGGAACUGAGACACGGUCCAGACUCCUACGGGAGGCAGCAGUGGGGAAUAUUGGACAAUGGGCGCAAGCCUGAUCCAGCCAUACCGCGUGGGUGAAGAAGGCCUUCGGGUUGUAAAGCCCUUUUGUUGGGAAAGAAAAGCAGCAGGUUAAUACCCCGCUGUUCUGACGGUACCCAAAGAAUAAGCACCGGCUAACUUCGUG